This 2053-nucleotide long non-coding RNA is filed under the name Panax ginseng (ginseng). Its description in RNAcentral is "long non-coding RNA (PGIN_LNC008384)". The record is from RNAcentral. Lineage: Eukaryota; Viridiplantae; Streptophyta; Magnoliopsida; Apiales; Araliaceae.
ACCCAGAAGCAAAAAAAAGUUGUAUUCCAUCACUAACUUGAACCUUAAGCUGCUGGCCUAACAUGAGGAUACUUGAACAAAACUCAACUCUUUCAUAUGUUUUCUCCAAUCCCCAUCACAGAAUCUAAAAAAUAAAAAUACAAAAUUAUAUAAAAAAAUUCCUUCCAGAGAGGCAAAGUAACUUAGAGCUCCUAUUCCUAUAUAUUCUCUCCUUUUUGUGCCACACUCCAUUACACAUCUACUUUGUUCCUCUUUUAUCUUUAGAAGAACAAUGGGUAUGGUUGUAGUGAUCUCCCUGCCAUUGAUUCUGCUUUCUUUACUUGUUGGAUUUGGGUGUUACUUCCUGGGAAGAGCUAAUGGUCGGCGAGACGUGGUCAGCACAAGUGCUCAAGUUUUUGGGGUGCCAACACCACAACCCGGAAGCUCUGCUCCUGCUCCUGUUCCUGCUCAGGCUCCAGCUUCUUCUCCUUCCCAUUUCAAUCCUGCCAGCGAAUCGGAAAAUAUAUGAUUAUCAUCAUAAAUAAAUAAGGCUGCUUCUUCUAUAUUACUAUUAUGUCUUGUUGCUCUAGACUGUUAUGUAACUUGCAUGAUGUGCAAAUUUUGUUUUGGUGUAAAUUGGUGAUAUUGUGAAUAUAUUUUUAGAACUAUAUAUAUAUAUCAUUUUCUAAAUCAAAAUAAAUAGUUCCAAUUUUGCAAGCAGCUCUUAGAAUUGAAGGUGCAAAACAAUUCUAAAAGGUUUUUACAUGAAAUCUCAACUAGAACCAUUUUCACAUCCUUUAAAAAAAAAUUCAAUCUGAUAUUAUAUAUAUGCCUCAAAACAAACACGACUGGAUUAAAUCUAGUUCCAGCAGUGACGAAAUCUUGAUUUUUAGCUAGGCUGGGAAAUGCAGUCCAACCUCUAGAGAGCUUAGCGUGUGAUCAUAUUCACAGUCCAUGAUCUGUUGGUAUAUUAAUUCUGCAUUAAAAAUCGAAAAUUCACUCGUACACUAGUGGAAUAAUUGAUGCAACUAAAACUUUCUUUGCUACCUACCAGUACUACAACAUUGGUCCAUCCAUGCAUAGCAUUUCAUCUAGAAAUUAGUACAGCAAAGUUCAAUCUGGUUUUAGCUCAUGGAAAUUAAUAUGUAGAUGAGAAAUGCAGCUCACGAACCUAAACAAUCAAAAUUUUAAACUACAUUUUGUCACAGGUUUAAUUUCUUAAAAAUCACAUUGGAGUCCUCCAGCUUUCUGAGGUGCACAGACCAUUCUGGGGCACAUUUGCGCAACGCUCUUUACAAAUGCUGGUGGGAUUUUCUACAUUGAAAUACAAUCUAAAGGUAAGCCCUCUACUGUUAUUGCCAAUAAAAAAUAAACCCAAAAUUUUGUGCAUAACAUUUAUCUCCCACAAGAUUAUAGAGAGUGAUGACUACUUUUUAUGUUUUUUUAUAUAUAUUAAUGGACUCCACCAAAUGAUAUUUUAUGUACCUUAGUUCAUCCUUUUGUGAAAAAAAAAAUAAAAAAAUUGUACCUUUAGAACUAGGGGCAUAAAUAAACCGAGUCGAGCUGGUAUUGAAUUAUUCAGAUUUGGUUCAUAAGAUUUAUCGAAUGAAAUAAGGUUUGAUUGAGUCUGGUUUAACUACCGAGUCGAGCAGAUCUCGGAAUUUGAACUUUUCGAGCGAACAAUUUGAAGAGGUUUGAGUAAAUUAUCAAUCUUUAAAAUUUGAUAUGAAUUUAGAGCGGAGGAAUUGUUAAGAAGUAAAACUAAGUAAUAUUUGUUAUUUCAAAAUUUAACAUAAAUUCACAACACAUUCCAUAUCAAGUAGAUCAAGAUCAAAGGAGACGCUUUAAUCCAAUCAAAAAACUCCUUUUUCUGGAAAGAAGAGAAUAAUUAGUUAAAUAAAAAUGGAAGAAAGUAGGAUUACCAGUUGGUGGGAGCUCUGAUCUGAUAGGAAAACAAACUUUCAAAAUUCAGAACAUGAACCCCUCUGGCCACUUCUAGGUUUGACCAUUUUUCUCUCUUGGUUUCAGUUGAAUCCUAUAAAACCCCAACGAAUCAAAGUUUAACAGUAUCCAC